CCCUUGUGGAGGAGGACGCCGAAGGUGGGGCUAAUGACUGGGGUGAAGUCGUAACAAGGUAGCCGUACCGGAAGGUGCGGCUGGAUCACCUCCUAACAGGGAGACAACAAAAUGUUUAAUAUUAUUAUUUUGUCACCUUAGGUCGAUCGGUAUCUCACGUUCUUAAUUUGUUAAGAAUUUCAUUUCCUAAGUUUUUCUAGGUCACACCCAUAUUUUUCCUGGGCCAUUAGCUCAGGUGGUUAGAGCGCACCCCUGAUAAGGGUGAGGUCCCUGGUUCAAGUCCAGGAUGGCCCAUAUCUCUAUGUUGGGGGUAUAGCUCAGUUGGUAGAGCGCCUGCUUUGCAAGCAGGAUGUCAGCGGUUCGAGUCCGCUUACCUCCACUGAUUACCACCUCUUCCAUAAUCGGUAGAAAGGAAAUGUUUUGAGUUGUGAUCAUUAUUCUGAACGAAUCUAGCUUCCUAAUGAAAUCAUUAAGAUGCUGGACUCAUUGAAUUAAUUUCAUUGUUUUCAGAGAACCUUGACAACUGCAUAGAUUAUUUUUAAAGACAAUAAGCAUCUUUAAUGAUGCAGAUUUAUUAUUUGUGCGAAUGCAUUAAUAACAAUUCUAUUAAGCUGAUGCUUCAAUUUUUGAAGUUAUUGGUCAAGCUACAAAGGGCUCACGGAGGAUACCUAGGCACAC
This 678-nucleotide unclassified non-coding RNA is filed under the name uncultured Prochlorococcus sp. Its description in RNAcentral is "partial may contain 16S ribosomal RNA, 16S-23S ribosomal RNA intergenic spacer, and 23S ribosomal RNA". The stretch from base 1 to 96 matches the Rfam family "Bacterial small subunit ribosomal RNA", at positions 1438 to 1533 of the family's 1533-position model. The record is from RNAcentral. Lineage: Bacteria; Bacillati; Cyanobacteriota; Cyanophyceae; Synechococcales; Prochlorococcaceae.